This 74-nucleotide transfer RNA is filed under the name Marmota monax (woodchuck). Its description in RNAcentral is "tRNA.Thr". The stretch from base 6 to 66 matches the Rfam family "tRNA", at positions 6 to 65 of the family's 71-position model. From Rfam's summary of the family: Transfer RNA (tRNA) molecules are approximately 80 nucleotides in length. Their secondary structure includes four short double-helical elements and three loops (D, anti-codon, and T loops). The record is from RNAcentral. Lineage: Eukaryota; Metazoa; Chordata; Mammalia; Rodentia; Sciuridae.
GAGGCUGUAGCUCAGUGGUAGAGUGCUUGCCUAGUGAGCAUGAGGCCCUGGGUUCAAUCCCCAGUACUGACUCA